This 542-nucleotide ribosomal RNA is filed under the name uncultured Actinomycetes bacterium. RNAcentral's name for it is "bacterial SSU rRNA". It matches the Rfam family "Bacterial small subunit ribosomal RNA", at positions 161 to 717 of the family's 1533-position model. The record is from RNAcentral. Lineage: Bacteria; Bacillati; Actinomycetota; Actinomycetes.
UGCUAAUACCGGAUAUGACUCUGCGCGACAUCACGCGGAGUGGAAAGUUUUUUCGGUUAGGGAUGGGCUCGCGGCCUAUCAGCUUGUUGGUGAGGUAACGGCUCACCAAGGCUACGACGGGUAACCGGCCUGAGAGGGCGACCGGUCACACUGGGACUGAGACACGGCCCAGACUCCUACGGGAGGCAGCAGUGGGGAAUAUUGCGCAAUGGGCGAAAGCCUGACGCAGCGACGCCGCGUGAGGGAUGAAGGUCUUCGGAUUGUAAACCUCUUUCAGCAGGGACGAAGCGAAAGUGACGGUACCUGCAAAAGAAGCACCGGCUAACUACGUGCCAGCAGCCGCGGUAAUACGUAGGGUGCAAGCGUUGUCCGGAUUUAUUGGGCGUAAAGAGCUCGUAGGCGGUUAGACACGUCGGAUGUGAAAACUGGGGGCUCAACCCCCAGCCUGCAUUCGAUACGGUCUGACUAGAGUGUGGUAGGGGAAACUGGAAUUCCUGGUGUAGCGGUGAAAUGCGCAGAUAUCAGGAGGAACACCGAUGGCG